RNAcentral lists this transfer RNA (71 nucleotides) under Marmota marmota marmota (Alpine marmot). It matches the Rfam family "tRNA". From Rfam's summary of the family: Transfer RNA (tRNA) molecules are approximately 80 nucleotides in length. Their secondary structure includes four short double-helical elements and three loops (D, anti-codon, and T loops). RNAcentral also lists the same sequence under 2 other names. Lineage: Eukaryota; Metazoa; Chordata; Mammalia; Rodentia; Sciuridae. The record is from Rfam by way of RNAcentral.
GUGGCUGUGGCUUAGUGGUACAGCACUUGCCUAACACAUGCGAGGCUCUGGGUUCGAUUCUCAGCACCACA